UAUGUGUUUGCCAUUCAUAUGAAGUGAUAGUGACAUCAUGCAUUUCCUCUUUUGACCUCUCUUGAAGAAAUGCCCACUUCUCCUAGUGUCCUCUUCAAAAUGUCCCUGGUAAGUAGGGCUGGAUAACCCUAUUCACCAGGGAUGGGAAAAGCCAAGAGUUUCCCAAAGAAUGGCCACCAAUACUCUGAUAACAAACCAGCACCAAUCCAAGAGAUCCUUCUAUGCUAGCAAUGGAAAGAACAAGACAAGUGGAGGACCCCUCUUCAAAGAUCAUGGCUUGCUUUGGAACCAUAAACCUACAACGACGUGAUAUUUAAAAAGAGGUCCUUUUUAAAUCUUAAUGGCCUCCUGACAGGUCCUCAGUAGCCUCGGUCACAGAGCUGUCUUCUAAGCAUGUAGGUUGAAAUCUGUAUAUAUGACCAGCUCAUUUGGUAUCUUCCUCUAUCAACAGGAAUCUCUUCUCUCCUUGGAUGAAGUAAUGAGACAUGGUUUAUACUCUGUAAAGACAGAUGGCUAAGUUAUAAGACAUUUUCACAGGCUGCUAAUAAAUAUAAUGAUAAUAUUAGCUGAUGUCUGUUAGCACUUCAUCAGGAAGUAGGCACUACAUGAAGCCUUACAUGCAAUAUCUCAUUUAAUUUCCUCAACAAUCAUAUGAGAGAAGCAGCAAUGCCUCUGGCUCAAAGACAAUGCAUUUGGGUACAACUGGCUGCCUGCAGGGUGAACCUCACCCUUCAGGCCUCGUCACAGCAGAGGAGUGGCUCAGGCACCAGGGCCCAGGCGCCGGGCACACCUGCUACAUUCCUCCAACUGGCUUGUUUUCAUUUUCUUUCCAAUUUAAAAGAAUGUAUUCAACAUUCCAUCUUUAGAAAAUGUGAUAACCAUCAAGUCUUUGCAUGAGAAAGGUAAGAGGGAAGUUAAUCUAUAAUGAAGAUCAACUGUGAAGAGGGAUGGGGUCUUCCCUGCCUCCCUUUAGUCAUUUACAACAUUUAAAAAAACAAUGCAGGUAAGGAAGAAGUCUAAUCUAUAAUGAGAGAAACAACAGUUACACCUGCCCAGGUUACAGAUGCCUCUCACAUGACUCAGGCACUAUAGUCAUAUUUCUUUAAAACUCAAAAUAGUUUGGAGUCCCCACAGCCUAGAUUUUAUUUUCACAUCUGCAAGUCAUUGAGAACUACUCCUGU
This 1181-nucleotide long non-coding RNA is filed under the name Homo sapiens (human). RNAcentral's name for it is "HSALNT0047840". The record is from RNAcentral. Lineage: Eukaryota; Metazoa; Chordata; Mammalia; Primates; Hominidae.